RNAcentral lists this transfer RNA (68 nucleotides) under Lissocarcinus arkati. RNAcentral's name for it is "tRNA-Tyr". It matches the Rfam family "tRNA". From Rfam's summary of the family: Transfer RNA (tRNA) molecules are approximately 80 nucleotides in length. The record is from RNAcentral. Lineage: Eukaryota; Metazoa; Arthropoda; Malacostraca; Decapoda; Portunidae.
GAUAGGAUGGCUGAGAUUUAGGCGGUAGAUUGUAAAUCUAUGAACAAGUGUGAAAAACUUUCUUAUCA